UGGCCGCCAUGUCAAGUGAGUGUUAACGUCGUGUCCCGUGGUAAAAAUGUCAACAAAUCGCCCCCCUGGGUCCGGAAAAAAAAGGGGCCAUCAGCACCACCCCCGAAACGAAGGUACCAGACGUAGGCCGAUACUGGAACCGGUAGUGGGGCCCCAGUUAAGCGUUUACAGUACGGAAAAUGUGUUGACAAAAGUCAACAGGGGGGCUGAAGUAACCAAAACAUUGUCGGAAAACCAACAGAAAUCGGACAAGGGAAUCGUUUCGGGGGUUGACAGCAGUUCUCAAGUAAAUUGUGAUAUACCCGUGAUAGAUUUAACUCAAUGUGAUGAUGAUUUAUUAGAAGUUAAGUCUGAAAAAGUAGUUUUAAAUGAUAGCAGUAGUAGUAGUCCUAUUGUAACGAAAAGUUUGAAAAACGAUAAGAAUCAACGAAUCAAAAAGUCCAAGAAGAGUAAACAAGAUACUCCGCCUCGAAAGAGUUCCAGUCAGAGUUCGUUUGAUAAUGAGGACAUGUCUUUGGUAGAAAGACCUGAGGCGGAGGGGUCCAGUUUGAGUGACCAAGAAACCGAAAAGGUCGACGUCGACCCCGAAAUUGAAGAGUUAGCCAAGCUUCGCUGUACGUCCGAAAGGACCGAAGUGAUAGCUGAGAAGGAAAUGAGGAAACGAGGCAGGAGAUGUGCAGAUUAUCCCGGUCUCGCCUUCAGUUCCACAUUCAGUUCUGAUACCAUUAUGAAGUUCAGCAUCAUUAGGAACGAGAUUCAGAAUAUUAUGAAUACACAAUUGAAAAGGGCCGAAUCCGAAGUGGCCGCCCUGAACCGUCGCAUCCAGCUCUUGGAAGAGGACCUGGAACGUUCCGAGGAGCGUCUGGCCACGGCCACCGCCAAAUUGGCCGAGGCCUCACAAGCGGCCGACGAAAGCGAAAGGCAACGCAAGAUUCUCGAGAACCGCUCGUUGGCAGAUGAGGAGCGCAUGGACGCUUUGGAGAACCAACUGAAGGAGGCCCGAUUCCUCGCCGAGGAAGCCGACAAAAAAUACGAUGAGGUAGCCCGUAAGUUGGCCAUGGUUGAAGCCGACCUGGAAAGAGCCGAAGAACGUGCCGAAGCCGGCGAAUCGUAGGUUUUCUUUGUUGUUUGUUGUUGUGUGUGAUUUUGCCUGUUUGUCAGUUUUUUUUUUCCACGACAUCCUUAAAGGAAAAAGAGGAGGAAGCAUUGGACCCCAACUUUUUAAUUUUUAGCAUGUCGCCAGGAAGUUGGUACUUAUGGAACAGGAUUUGGAACGGGCAGAGGAGCGAGCGGAAGUUGCUGAAAGCAAAAUCGUAGAGCUUGAGGAGGAACUCCGCGUCGUAGGCAACAACCUUAAAUCCCUCGAGGUCUCAGAAGAAAA
This 1381-nucleotide unclassified non-coding RNA is filed under the name Anthonomus grandis grandis. Its description in RNAcentral is "tropomyosin-2". The record is from RNAcentral. Lineage: Eukaryota; Metazoa; Arthropoda; Insecta; Coleoptera; Curculionidae.